GCGGAAGAACCGGGUAACAUGUCUUUAAAAACCAAAACACAGCAAGGCAAGGUGGCUCAAGUCUAUAAUCCCAGCAUUCAGGAGGGCAAGGCAGAAGUGCUGCAAGUUCAAGGCCAGCAUCAGCUAACUGUGAAUGCCUGUCUCAAAACCACACAAGGGAUUUUUCCACACAAGCGCAUACACAUCACAUGCACACAUGUAUGCACACGUGCACACACACCACACCACACCACACACAUAUACACCACACAGACGCACACGUGCACACACAGGCCAGUGUAGACAGCAGUGUAGGACAGUAGAGGAC
Molecule: long non-coding RNA, 307 nt
Filed under: Androctonus crassicauda
Lineage: Eukaryota; Metazoa; Arthropoda; Arachnida; Scorpiones; Buthidae
Source: RNAcentral